AUUGAACGCUGGCGGCAUGCCUUACACAUGCAAGUCGAACGGUAACAGGUCUUCGGAUGCUGACGAGUGGCGAACGGGUGAGUAAUGCAUCGGAACGUGCCCAGUUGUGGGGGAUAACUGCUCGAAAGAGCAGCUAAUACCGCAUACGACCUGAGGGUGAAAGCGGGGGAUCGCAAGACCUCGCGCAAUUGGAGCGGCCGAUGUCAGAUUAGGUAGUUGGUGGGGUACAGGCCUACCAAGCCGACGAUCUGUAGUUGGUCUGAGAGGACGACCAGCCACACUGGGACUGAGACACGGCCCAGACUCGUACGGGAGGCAGCAGUGGGGAAUUUUGGACAUUGGGCGCAAGCCUGAUCCAGCAAUGCCGCGUGCAGGAAGAAGGCCUUCGGGUUGUAAACUGCUUUUGCCAGGGAAGAAAUCCUCUGGGUUAAUACCCCGGGGGGAUGACGGUACCUGAAGAGUAAGCACCGGCUAACUACGUGCCAGCAGCCGCAGUAA
RNAcentral lists this ribosomal RNA (498 nucleotides) under uncultured bacterium. RNAcentral's name for it is "partial 16S ribosomal RNA". It matches the Rfam family "Bacterial small subunit ribosomal RNA", at positions 30 to 523 of the family's 1533-position model. The record is from RNAcentral.